GUUACUCCCAGUUUCUGCCUCCUUACCUUAGGCUCCUCCCCAAACACCCAGGCGGACGGUACCAGAGCCACACACCCACUUCCCACCCCCUGCACUGAGGGGCCGGUGCCUUCGGUUAGGCUACCUGCCUCUCCCCGCCGCGGGGUGGGGGGGGCUCGGAGGGGUGGCGAGGCGCGGCCCGAGGGCGAGCCCCCAGCCGGGGAGUCCACGCCUCCCGACGCCCCUCCGUCGCCUGCAGCCCGGGGAGCCCGGCCCACGCCCACAUCCCAGCCGGGCAGGCGGCUCCCGGCCGGCUCGGCGCUCGGGGGCACCGGGGCUGGUGACCUCGAGGGCGCCCCCCACGGACCGCGGCCCGGGCUCCGCAGCGGCGGGACGGACGCGCGCCGGAGCCCGCGGUUCGGUCCCCGAGGUGCCCUCGAGCGCCUCCCGGACGCCUGCGCAGCGCCGCCGCGGACCCGGAGGUCCCCGGGUGUCCCCGGGUGUCCCCGGGUGUCCGGACCCGACGCGGGCGCUCCCUCCGAGGGGCCGGUCCCCCCCGGGGCUGCCCGCGCCCGUCCCCGCCGACCUGGACGGCAGCCCGGCCCCUCGGCGCGCCCCGACCCUCCGCCGCGCGGCACCGCGACACUGACCUGCGGCGGCGGCGGCCCCGGAGUCCCGGCAGCCGACCCGAGCGCCCCAGGCGGCGACUCCCGCGCGCGCUGCGGCUCCCAGUGCGCUCGGCCCCGCCUGCCCGAGGCCCCGCCGGGCCGGGCCGGGCCGGGGGCGGGGAGCGCGGCGCGGGGGCGGCCGCGGGGGCGGGGAGGCGGCGCGGGGCGCGGGGCGCGGGGGCGCGGGGGCCCGGCGCACAGUGGGGCCGCGGCCGCGGGGCUGCCUGCCCGAGCCCCCGCUCGGCCGGCUCGCUCGGUCCUCGUGGCCGCCGCUGGGAGGCGGCCCAGAAACGGUCCCAGUCCCCAGAGCGGGCACCUAAGGGCGCUCCCACAGGUGCCCCACGCUCCCGUCUGGCACGAGCCCGGGCUGCGGGGUCCCCAGCCCGCCCUCCGCCUCCAGGCCGCUGUGUCUUACUCUUCGCCCCGCGAGAUUUUUUUUUCCAGGUGUUUUUUUUUUUUUUUUUUAAUGACAUUCUUUAAAAAGAAAUUAAAUCCUACCUAG
RNAcentral lists this long non-coding RNA (1149 nucleotides) under Canis lupus familiaris (dog). RNAcentral's name for it is "lncRNA (ENSCAFG00030003743.1, ENSCAFG00040022342.1)". Lineage: Eukaryota; Metazoa; Chordata; Mammalia; Carnivora; Canidae. The record is from RNAcentral.